GACGAACGCUGGCGGCGUGCCUAAUACGUGCAAGUAGAACGCUGAAGGAGGAGCUUGCUCUUCUGGAUGAGUUGCGAACGGGUGAGUAACGCGUAGGUAACCUGCCUGGUAGCGGGGGAUAACUAUUGGAAACGAUAGCUAAUACCGCAUAAUAGUAGAUGUUGCAUGACAUUUGCUUAAAAGGUGCAAUUGCAUCACUACCAGAUGGACCUGCGUUGUAUUAGCUAGUUGGUGAGGUAACGGCUCACCAAGGCAACGAUACAUAGCCGACCUGAGAGGGUGAUCGGCCACACUGGGACUGAGACGCGGCCCAGACUCCUACGGGGAGGCAGCAGUAGGGAAUCUUCGGCAAUGGACGGAAGUCUGACCGAGCAACGCCGCGUGAGUGAAGAAGGUUUUCGGAUCGUAAAGCUCUGUUUGUAAGAGAAGAACGAGUGUGAGAGUGGAAAGUUCACACUGUGACGGUAUCUUACCAGAAAGGGACGGCUAACUACGUGCCAGCAGCCGCGGUAAUACGUAGGUCCCGAGCGUUGUCCGGAUUUAUUGGGGCGUAAAGCGAGCGCGGGGGGUAGAUAAGUCUGGAGGUUAAAGGCUGUGCCCUAAACAAAAGAACGCUUUGGAAACUGUUUAACUGGAGGGCCAGGACGGGAGGGGUGGAUUCCUUUUUAGCGGUGUUAUCUACAUAUAGAGAAGACCCCCGUUCCUAUGCUUUUCUCUUUUGCACCGACGCGGAGCGUGGGAGCGGGGAAUAAACAAAUAUAGU
RNAcentral lists this ribosomal RNA (763 nucleotides) under uncultured Streptococcus sp. RNAcentral's name for it is "bacterial SSU rRNA". It matches the Rfam family "Bacterial small subunit ribosomal RNA", at positions 28 to 782 of the family's 1533-position model. The record is from RNAcentral. Lineage: Bacteria; Bacillati; Bacillota; Bacilli; Lactobacillales; Streptococcaceae.